This 1341-nucleotide long non-coding RNA is filed under the name Monodelphis domestica (gray short-tailed opossum). Its description in RNAcentral is "lncRNA (ENSMODG00000039238.1)". Lineage: Eukaryota; Metazoa; Chordata; Mammalia; Didelphimorphia; Didelphidae. The record is from RNAcentral.
CCUUCAUCUGCAUUACAUUUUUGAGACUCAAAUGUGGAUGACAUGGGACAUUUUUGUACAACUCUUUCUCAUCUUAGUGGUCAAAAAAGUCAAGGAAAUAUCAAAAAAUGGAAAUGUUUGGCAGACAUUCUUAGAUAUUUGCUAAGGGUUCAUGCAUGUGUAUAUAUAACAUAAACUUAUGUGAAUUUUAAAAGUCUCCAUCUUGGUCUAGCACCCAAAAAUUGUGCACACCCACCUACACGGGCAUGCGCUAGUCAAUGACUAAUCAGAAAUAACUAACUGCCCACCUGGGCUGUCCUAAGCCAAGCUAGAGCCAACCAUUGGAUUUGUGAGACACAGGAAGAGAGGUAGGGAACAGCCUCUGAGAUUGGCGGAACUUCCUGUGGAGAGAGCUAGGGGGAGUUGGUGUUAGGAGCUUGGAGAGAGAGGACGCCCGCAGACAGCUUUCCUUCAGAUCGGUCACGUGAGUUAAGGACUGGUUCUUUCCACCUGGGCCUUUGGGCCUAAAACUCCCCCUGCCUUGGUCAGAGGUUGAGUAGCCUCUUUCCCUUUUCUCUUCUCUCCUUCUCUCCCUAACCUUUUCCCUACUCCCAGUGUGAUUAAACCUUCAUAAACCUCAUUCUGACUUGAGUGUUUCAUUUUAGGAAUUUCAUAAGUAAAUUCCUUGGCGGCCAUUGUUAAAUAUUAUAUAAAUCUUGUAGCCACAUUUGUAACCAUUACUAUAUUAUAACCUUCUCCCAGAAGCCUUAAAUUUCCCCAUUACAGUUUUGGCUAACCACUACGGGAAAAAGAACCUUAUCAGUCUUCUGAUCUCCUUACUAUCACCUGGGAGAAAUCCCACCCCGGCUACCCCCCCCUGGCUCUUGGCCCUGCCUUAGUGCUUGGAAGGUUUCUAGAACCUCAAUAAAUUUCCUGAAUUUUCUUGCCUUUUCAACCCACUUAUUGCUCACUCCCUCAGUCCUGUUACCAAAUACCUUGGCUUAAAGACACAGCUGCCAGAACAGGAAUUACAGCACAAACUGCGUGAGCUACAUGAAUCCGGAGCUGCAGUACAAGCUGGACCACUAGACUUCUCCCUUCACGACCUGAACCCAGGAGACAACGUGUAUAUUAAGAAUUUCAAGCGUACUGGAGCAACUGAACCUUCAUGGGAAGGACCAUUCCAAAUAUUGUUAACUACUCCAACAUCUAUAAAGGUUGGAGAAAAGGACUCUUGGAUUCACUGUUCUCAUGUAAAGAGAGCAUCUUCUGUUGAGACUGAUUGACUCUAUCCUAUACAUGCAUUGGAGAUAACUACCCAUUGACAAGUGGAACUGUUUUAUUCUGCUUUUGACACAUUGA